CCUACGGGAGGCAGCAGUGAGGAAUAUUGGUCAAUGGGCGCGAGCCUGAACCAGCCAAGUAGCGUGAAGGAUGACUGUCCUACGGGCUGUAAACUCUUUUUAUAAAGGAAUACAGUGAGGCACGUGUGCCUCUUUGUAUGUACGUUAUGAACAAGGAACGGCUAACUUCGCGCCAGCAGCCGCGGUAAUACGGAGGGUCCGAGGGUUAACCGGAUCGAUUGGGAUUAAAGGGAGCGUAGAUGGGUUGUUAAGUCAGUUGUGAAAGUUUGUGGCUCAACGGUAAAAUUGCAAUUGAUACUGGCAGACUUGAGUGCAGUAGAGGAAAGCGGAAUUCGAGGUGUAGCGGUGAAAUGCGUAGAUAUCACGAAGAACUCCGAUGGCGAAGGCGACUUACUAAACUGCCACUGACGUUGAUGCGCGAAAGUGUGGGUAUCAAACAGGAUUAGAUACCCGUGUAGUC
This 460-nucleotide ribosomal RNA is filed under the name uncultured bacterium. RNAcentral's name for it is "partial 16S ribosomal RNA". It matches the Rfam family "Bacterial small subunit ribosomal RNA", at positions 338 to 795 of the family's 1533-position model. The record is from RNAcentral.